UACAGAGGUCCCGAGCGUUGUUCGGAUUCAUUGGGCGUAAAGGGUGCGUAGGCGGCGGGGAAAGUCUGAUGUGAAAUCCUGGGGCUCAACCCUGGAACUGCAUUGGAUACUUCCUUGCUAGAGUACUGGAGAGGAAACUGGAAUUUACGGUGUAGCAGUGAAAUGCGUAGAGAUCGUAAGGAACAUCAGUGGCGAAAGCGGCUUCCUGGACCAGCACCGACGUUCAGGCACGAAAGCGUGGGGAGCAAACAGG
Molecule: ribosomal RNA, 253 nt
Filed under: uncultured bacterium
Lineage: Bacteria
Description: partial 16S ribosomal RNA
Rfam family: Bacterial small subunit ribosomal RNA
Source: RNAcentral